This 341-nucleotide long non-coding RNA is filed under the name Salmo salar (Atlantic salmon). RNAcentral's name for it is "lncRNA (ENSSSAG00000120106.1)". Lineage: Eukaryota; Metazoa; Chordata; Actinopteri; Salmoniformes; Salmonidae. The record is from RNAcentral.
CAAAAUGGCAUGACGACAAUAAUGCUGAAGCGGGGAAUAACUUCGGGAACGGACAGAUAUAGGGGAGGAAAUGAAAGCAGGUGAUUGAGUCCAGGUCAUAUACGGGGUUACUGUUGAAUAACAACAGCUUUUCAAUGAAAUAAUGGAAAAUCCAUGUGGACACCCAUGUGGAGAGAGGGCUGUCGGUUUAACUCCUUGGAUAUAUUCUUGGUGACUGGUGCAGACAGUUGACUAAUUAACAGGGUAACUCGUGUCCUCUCUCUCCUGGCUGGAGGAGAUUCCAUGAUGUAACCCAGCCUGGUCUGGUUGGACCUCUUCAGGCUGCAUGGCAGAACACUGUG